RNAcentral lists this ribosomal RNA (1458 nucleotides) under Triticum aestivum (bread wheat). RNAcentral describes it as "partial small subunit ribosomal RNA". The record is from RNAcentral. Lineage: Eukaryota; Viridiplantae; Streptophyta; Magnoliopsida; Poales; Poaceae.
AUGGCGCACGCCACCGUCCAGGGCGCGCCCAUGACACGCCCGUGCCCGCGUCCGUCGGCCCCCCUGAUCGUCUUCCUCGUCCUGCUCGCCUCCUGCUACCUCGCCCUCACGCGCCUGCCCGCCGCGGCCCCGCUAGCCGCCCUGAUCGCCCCUUCCGCGGGCCAUGCCUCCGGCCACGGCGCUGUCGACAGCUGUGCCGGGUUCUACCGCGGCGCGGGCGCAGCGGGGAGGCGCGCGGUGACAGCGUCGGUGGAGGAGUUUGGGGCCGUGGGCGACGGGGUCACGUCCAACACGGCGGCGUUCCGGCGCGCCGUGGCUGCGCUGGAGGAAAGGGGUGGCGGCGGUGGCGCCAGGCUGGAGGUGCCGGCAGGGAGGUGGCUCACGGGGAGCUUCAACCUCACCAGCCGCUUCACGCUCUUCCUGCACCAUGGCGCGGUCAUCCUCGGCUCCCACGAUCCAGAAGAGUGGCCUCUCAUUGCACCUUUGCCUUCUUACGGGCGCGGAAGGGAAAGAUUAGGACCGCGCCACAUUAGCCUCAUUCACGGACAAGACCUAAAUGAUGUUGUCAUUACUGGUAGCAAUGGGACCAUAGAUGGCCAGGGCAGGAUAUGGUGGGAGCUAUGGUGGAACCGGACUUUGAACCACACAAGAGGUCAUCUCAUCGAGCUCGUGAAUUCAACCAACGUAUUGAUCUCCAAUGUCACCCUACGCAACUCCCCAUUUUGGACAGUGCAUCCGGUCUACUGCAGAAACGUGGUGAUUAAGGAUCUGACUAUACUAGCUCCCCUGAAUGCUCCAAACACUGAUGGCAUUGAUCCAGACUCAAGUUCAGAAGUUUGUGUCGAGGACUGCUAUAUCGAAAGUGGAGAUGACCUGGUUGCUGUCAAGAGUGGUUGGGAUCAGUAUGGGAUAUCUGUAGGCAAACCCAGCUCAAACAUUAUCAUCCAGCGGGUUUCAGGCACCACACCUACGUGCUCCGGUGUGGGUUUCGGAAGCGAGAUGUCGGGUGGGAUAUCAAACGUGCUUGUCCGCGACCUCCACAUAUGGAACUCUGCUUCCGCAGUGAGGCUAAAGACCGAUGUGGGGCGCGGCGGGUACAUAACCAACAUCACCAUCGCCAAUGUGACGAUGGAGAAGGUCAAGGUGCCAAUAAGGUUCAGCCGGGGUUCAGAUGACCACUCGGACGACAAGUAUGACCGAACAGCGCUACCGAUCAUCAGUGACAUUCAUAUUGUCGAUAUUGUUGGUGUGGAUGUGCAGCGUGCACCGAUGCUGGAGGCGGUGCACGGCGCGGUUUACGAGGGGAUAUGCUUCAGAAACGUUAGCCUGACAGCGAUAAGGCGUCAGAUACGGUGGCAAUGCGAGUCUGUGUUUGGAGAGGCGCAUGAAGUUUUCCCUGCACCUUGUGAAGAGUUGAGGAAUAAUGGAUCUUCUUCUUCUUGGUGUGGCCUUCCCUGA